UACGGAGGGAGCUAGCGUUGUUCGGAAUUACUGGGCGUAAAGUGCGCGUAGGCGGCAUGCCAAGUCAGGGGUGAAAUCCCGGGGCUCAACCCCGGAACUGCCCUUGAAACUGGCAAGCUAGAAUCCUGGAGAGGCGAGUGGAAUUCCGAGUGUAGAGGUGAAAUUCGUAGAUAUUCGGAAGAACACCAGUGGCGAAGGCGACUCGCUGGACAGGUAUUGACGCUGAGGUGCGAAAGCGUGGGGAGCAAACAGG
RNAcentral lists this unclassified non-coding RNA (253 nucleotides) under uncultured Sphingomonadaceae bacterium. RNAcentral's name for it is "contains 16S-23S intergenic spacer region". It matches the Rfam family "Bacterial small subunit ribosomal RNA", at positions 524 to 776 of the family's 1533-position model. The record is from RNAcentral. Lineage: Bacteria; Pseudomonadati; Pseudomonadota; Alphaproteobacteria; Sphingomonadales; Sphingomonadaceae.